GUCUACGACCAUGCUACCCUGAACAAGCCUGAUCCCAUCUGAUCUCAGAAGCUAAGCAGGGUCGGGCCUGGUUAGUACUUGGAUGGGAGACCACCUAGGAAGACCAGGUGCUGUAGGAG
RNAcentral lists this ribosomal RNA (119 nucleotides) under Pteropus alecto (black flying fox). The record is from RNAcentral. Lineage: Eukaryota; Metazoa; Chordata; Mammalia; Chiroptera; Pteropodidae.